Molecule: transfer RNA, 73 nt
Filed under: Thermoplasmata archaeon
Lineage: Archaea; Methanobacteriati; Thermoplasmatota; Thermoplasmata
Also listed under: 1 other name
Description: tRNA-Val
Rfam family: tRNA
About the family: Transfer RNA (tRNA) molecules are approximately 80 nucleotides in length. Their secondary structure includes four short double-helical elements and three loops (D, anti-codon, and T loops). Further hydrogen bonds mediate the characteristic L-shaped molecular structure. tRNAs have two regions of fundamental functional importance: the anti-codon, which is responsible for specific mRNA codon recognition, and the 3' end, to which the tRNAs corresponding amino acid is attached (by aminoacyl-tRNA synthetases). tRNAs cope with the degeneracy of the genetic code in two manners: having more than one tRNA (with a specific anti-codon) for a particular amino acid; and 'wobble' base-pairing, i.e. permitting non-standard base-pairing at the 3rd anti-codon position.
Source: RNAcentral
GGGCUCGUGGUCUAGGGGUUAUGACGUCGCGCUUACAACGCGGAGGUCGCCGGUUCGAAUCCGGCCGAGCCCA